This is a non-coding RNA of Zonotrichia albicollis (white-throated sparrow), 817 nucleotides long. NCBI's taxonomy places the organism in Eukaryota, Metazoa, Chordata, Aves, Passeriformes, Passerellidae. The record is from RefSeq and is a predicted model, not a curated record.
CGGGGUUGUGACGUCAUUGGGCACGUCUAUGACGUCACGGUGACGUCACGGCCCCGCCCCAGGCCCGCUGUUCAAUUUCGAUGUGCACGAGGACGUUCGGCUGCUCAGCGACGCCACCGUGGAGAAGGACGAGUCGCACGCUGGGAAGGUCGUGCUGCGCUCGUGGUACGAGAAGAACAAACACAUCUUCCCUGCCAGCCGCUGGGAGCCCUUCGACCCCGAGAAACGCUGGGACAAGUACACGGUGAGGGACCCAAAAUGGCCUGAAAUCACCCCAAAAAUAUCCCAAAAAUAUCCUUAAAUUAUCCUUAAAAUGUCCCUAAAUUAUCCCUGAAAUAUCCCAAAAAAUAACCCCAAAAUGUCCCUUCGAUCCCGAGAAACGCUGGGACAAGUACACGGUGAGGGCCCCAAAACCACCUCAAUUCACCCCAAAAAUAAUCCCAAAAUAUCCCUGAAAUAUCCUAAAAUUAUCUCUAAAAUAUCCCAAAAAUAUCCACAAAAUGAUCCCAAAAAUUGCUCUGAAAUGUGCCCAAAAAAUCCCCUUCGACCCCGAGAAACGCUGGGACAAGUACACGGUGAGGGACACAAAACCACCUCAAUUCACCCCAAAAAUAAUCCCAAAAUAUCCCUGAAAUAUCCUUAAAUUAUCUCUAAAAUAUCCCAAAAAUAUCCAAAAAAUAAUCCCAUAAAUAGCUCUGAAAUGUGCCCAAAAAAUCCCCUUGGACCCCGAGAAACGCUGGGACAAGUACACGGUGAGGGACCCAAAACGGCCCCAAAUCACCCCAAAAAUAUCCCCAAAUAUUCUCCAAAAUAUCCC